RNAcentral lists this ribosomal RNA (1368 nucleotides) under uncultured bacterium. Its description in RNAcentral is "bacterial SSU rRNA". It matches the Rfam family "Bacterial small subunit ribosomal RNA". The record is from RNAcentral.
GAAGAACGCUGGCGGCGUGCCUAAGGUAUGCAAGUCGAACGCGCUCGACUUCGGUUGAGUGGCGUGGCGAACGGGUGAGUAACGCGUGGGAAUCUGCCUCCAAGAUGGGGAUAACCCCGAGAAAUCGGGGACAAUACCCAAUGGCCCCGAAAGGGUAAAGAUUUAUCGCUUGGAGAUGAGCCCGCGUCCCAUCAGCUAGUUGGUAGGGUAAUGGCCUACCAAGGCUAUGACGGGUAGGGGGCGUGAGAGCGUGUUCCCCCACAAUGGCACUGAGACAAGGGCCAUACACCUACGGGUGGCAGCAAUCGGGAAUUUUGCGCAAUGCCCGAAAGGGUGACGCAGCGACGCCGCGUGGAUGAUGAAGGUCGAAAGAUUGUAAAAUCCUUAAUUCGCCGAGAGGCGGAGGAUUAAGCCCCGGCUAACUACGUGCCAGCAGCAGCGGUAAAACGUAGGGGGCGAGCGUUAUCCGGAUUUAUUGGGCGUAAAGCGUGCGUAGGUGUUUUAGAAAGUCCUGGCUUAAAGCCCGCGGCUCAACUGCGGAAGGCGUCGGGAUACUUCUAGAAUUGAGGAAGGUAGGGGGUGGCGGAACCUUACAAGGAGGGGUGAAAUCCAAUGAUCUGUAAGGGAACACCGAAGGCGAAGGCAGCCACCUAGGCCUUUUCUGACACUAAGGCACGAAAGCUAGGGUAGCAAAGCGGAUUAGAUACCCGUGUAGUCCUAGCCGUAAACGAUGAGCACUAGCUAUUCCCUUUUGGGAGUGGCGUAAGCUAACGCGUUAAGUGCUCCGCCUGGGGAGUACGGCCGCAAGGCUAAAACUCAAAGGAAUUGACGGGGACCCGCACAAGCGGUGGAGCGCGUGGUUUAAUUCGAUGAUAAGCGAAGGACCUUACUAGGGCUUGACAUGCAAGUGGUAGCGAUCCGAAAGGUGAGCGACCCGCAAGGGAGCUUGCACAGGUGUUGCAUGGCUGUCGUCAGCUCGUGGCGUGAGCUGUAUGGUUAAGUCCCAUAACGAGCGCAACCCCUACCGUUAGUUAGAUAUGUCUAACGGGACUGCCUCGGUAACGGGGAGGAAGGUGGGGACGACGUCAAGUCAGCAUGGCCCUUAUGUCCUGGGCGACACACACGCUACAAUGGCGGCUACAACAGGUUGCAAUGCGGUAACGCGGAGCCAAUCCCUAAAAGCCGUCUCAGUUCGGAUUGGGGGCUGCAACUCGCCCCCAUGAAGCUGGAAUCGCUAGUAAUGGCCGGUCAGCCAGACGGCCGUGAAUACGUUCUCGGGUCUUGUACACACCGCCCGUCAGAUGGGGAAAGUUGGGGCUAGCCGAAUCCCGCCUUCGGCGGGGCAAGCUGGAAUCAGCGAUCAACAUC